RNAcentral lists this ribosomal RNA (221 nucleotides) under uncultured bacterium. RNAcentral describes it as "partial 16S ribosomal RNA". It matches the Rfam family "Bacterial small subunit ribosomal RNA", at positions 96 to 334 of the family's 1533-position model. The record is from RNAcentral.
CGGCGGACGGCUGAGUAACGCGUAGGAACGUACCCCAAAGUGAGGGAUAACUGCUCGAAAGAGUAGCUAAUACCGCAUGUGCUCUAAGGAGUAAAGCUUCGGUGCUUUGGGAACGGCCUGCGUAAGAUUAGCUUGUUGGUGAGGUAAUGGCUCACCAAGGCGACGAUCUUUAGCUGGUCUGAGAGGAUGACCAGCCAGACUGGGACUGAGACACGGCCCAG